Molecule: long non-coding RNA, 640 nt
Organism: Phlebotomus papatasi
Lineage: Eukaryota; Metazoa; Arthropoda; Insecta; Diptera; Psychodidae
Exons: 6
Source: RefSeq, a predicted model, not a curated record
CUAAAUAAAUUGAAUAUGACAAUUUGCCCAGAAAAUUAUUUGUUCACUAGAUAUUGAGUCGGAAGUGAGACUUUUUCUUUAAAUCUAAUUUCAUUUUCUUCUUUUCGUAAUCUUCUUUGUGCUAAGCUUCGCGAUGUCAACUGCUGGAAAUCCAGGUGCAGAAUUGGUGACAGCUUUAACAUCGGGACUAAGUAUGAAAAUGAAGUUUUUUAAAAGGAAAUGAAGUUCGAAAAUUGAUAUGUUUUCUUAAUCUCUUUUUCUGGAUCAAUCACCAUUGUCGUUUGAUGUGAUAAUAGCUGCAGGUAACAUCAUAUUUUCAUGUUACAACCUAAUAAAUCUUGUACAUUUUUUUUAUUAAAUUUCUCUUCUGGAUAAAUCGUAUGUGAUCUCGCAUGUGGAAUGGGAAAUUACAGUCCUACGAGAAUUGCCUCUGAAUUCGGUAUGGGGAUUUAUAGCUCUACUGACAGCAAUCGUAGCGAUAUUUGGUAUGAAUAUGUCUUUUAAGAAAUUGAAGAUUUGAGAAUUAUACUUAUACUUCUUUUAUUUUUUCCUGUGUAUCUAUCAAACUUGAAUUUGGUCGUAAUAUGGUGGAUUAUAGGGGCAUUAGGUACAAGCAUGACUUCAAACUUUUUGAAUACAU